RNAcentral lists this ribosomal RNA (460 nucleotides) under uncultured bacterium. RNAcentral's name for it is "partial 16S ribosomal RNA". It matches the Rfam family "Bacterial small subunit ribosomal RNA", at positions 338 to 795 of the family's 1533-position model. The record is from RNAcentral.
CCUACGGGUGGCAGCAGUGAGGAAUAUUGGUCAAUGUGCGCAAGCCUGAACCAGCCAAGUCGCGUGAGGGAAGACGGCCCUACGGGGUGUAAACCUCUUUUGCCGGGGAGCAAGCCUGAGCACGUGUGCCCAGGCGGAGAGUACUCGGAGAAAAAGCAUCGGCUAAAUCCGUGCCAGCAGCCGCGGUAAUACGGAGGAUGCGAGCGUUAUCCGGAUUUCUUGGGUGUAAAGGGUGCGCAGGCGGGCUGUUAAGCCGGCGGUAAAAAUUCAGGGCUCAACCCUGUCGAGCCGUCGGAACUGGCAGCCUUGAGUGGGCGAGAAGUAUGCGGAAUGCGUGGUGUAGCGGUGAAAUGCAUAGAUAUCACGCAGAACUCCGAUUGCGAAGGCAGCAUACCGGCGCCCAACGGACGCUCAUGCACGAAAGCGUGGGUAUCGAACAGGAUUAGAUACCCCUGUAGUC